RNAcentral lists this ribosomal RNA (492 nucleotides) under uncultured bacterium. RNAcentral's name for it is "partial 16S ribosomal RNA". It matches the Rfam family "Bacterial small subunit ribosomal RNA", at positions 29 to 507 of the family's 1533-position model. The record is from RNAcentral.
AGUGAACGCUGGCGGUAGGCCUAACACAUGCAAGUCGAACGGCAGCACAGUAAGAGCUUGCUCUUACGGGUGGCGAGUGGCGGACGGGUGAGGAAUACAUCGGAAUCUACUUUUUCGUGGGGGAUAACGUAGGGAAACUUACGCUAAUACCGCAUACGACCUACGUGUGAAAGCAGGGGAUCUUCGGACCUUGUGCGAUUGUAUGAGCCGAUGUCGGAUUAGCUAGUUGGCGGGGUAGAGGCCCACCAAGGCGACGAUCCGUAGCUGGUCUGAGAGGAUGAUCAGCCACACGGGAACUGAGACACGGUCCGCACUCCUACGGGAAGCAGCGGUGGGGAAUAUUGGGCAAUGGGCGCAAGCCUGAUCCAGCCACACCGCGUGGGUGAAGAAGGCCUUCUGGUUGUAAAGCCCUUUUGUUGGGAGAGAAAAGCAGCAGGUUAAUACCCCGCUGUUCUGACGGUACCCAAAGAAUAAGCACCGGCUAACUUCGUG